UGUACCAACCCCUGCUCCGCUGCAAGGCCUGUGCAGCCAGGAAUAGUGACAUCUCAGGGCCAGAUGGAGAGGAGACAAACAGAUCCUGAUCUGUAGUUCAGCAGAUGCAAACUAGAACUGGAAACGGGGAGAGGGAAGUUUGCUCCUUGAUGCUCAAGUAAUUUCUUGGGAGUUUGGGUUUCUUUUUUUCUUCAGUGACUCUAAUGUAAAAUGCGGAAGCAAUCCAUGGGACAAAAUGCCAGAACUGGUAUUUGCUUUUUCUGCUAAGUGAUCUGAUCUCUCUCCCCUAGUGUCUUUGUUUAUGGCUUCAUGACUGAUUUAGAAACCUAUCUACAAUGUCCAGUUAUCAUUUGUGUUGAUAUAAAAAAAAAAAAAUGGGAACGCUUAGUUUCAUCUUACGGUAGAUAUUUAAAAUGGUCAGUGAAAUGAGGUGCCUGCUUCUCGGGAACAGUAAAGUGAGCCUGCAAUGACCAGCUCAAACAUCUGCCAUGUACCCCUUCCAUGCACCCCUGGUCUCUUGCAAUUCUGUGAAUAAAAGUAGCUCAGGCCAGAUCUGGGUCUGCCAUUUAUAUAUCCCUGCUUUAGUUUGUUACAGAAAAAGCCACAAUUAGAUGGCCUUCAGUUUUCUUUCUUCAUGUGUUUCCAUCUAGUGUCUGAGUAGUAGCCACUACUAUUAAAAUGUUCCUCAGAUUUGUUAAGAAUGGAGAGAAUCUCUCUCCUAAAAACAAACAAACAAAAACCUAAACUAAACCAACCACGCAAACAAACAAAACCCCAGAAAUUCCCGCAGAGAAAGAAGCACACUGUGCUCUGUUAGUGAACUGUAUGUGGGGGAAGGCGCUGGAAGGAGAUCAAAGGCAGGGUCACUGCUUAAAAACAGUGUGCACACAGCUCCGAAUGACCACUUUACCCUGACCACAACCACCUAAAAACUGUUCAGAGUUGCAGUUUUACUCUCAGCAUGCAAGCUGGAUACACCCCAAAGCUCAAAUUGCAGCCCAGGAGACUGCAAACCCACAUGGACAGUAGGGCAUGCUGAAAGUCAGUUAAAUUAAUCCCACCAAAUGUAAGCACACUCAACUGCCCCUACUCUUAAAGCAAGAAGUAGUAGGAAGUAGGAGUAGAUGGUUGGGCCCUUCAUCCACAUGCAGACUCUAAAAUCUGGAUUGAAGACUGAAGUCCUUGAAAUAAAAUUCUUAGGAAUGAAUUGUCCUGAUGCGAAAGAAGAUCCUUGCCACCUCUUCCUCAGCACCUUUAUUCAGGAUGGUAUGUUUUGAAAAGCAAUGGAUAGGGUGUAUUGACCACUCUGAAAUCUUACAAAGACUCAGAGUGCAUGCCACUUCACCUCUCUUUGUUACAGGGAACUGGAACUGUGUGUCCACCUUUUGUACAAAACAGCUGCUAGGACUUGUAGUUAUAUUGAGUCCUAGCAAUAUAUAAUGUGUGCAAAAAAAAACACAAAACAAAAAAACAUAUACCCAUAGAAAAGCACAAUUUUGCUUUCUCUGAAUAGGAAUAAGAAACAAAAUGAAGAAUAGGUCAGGUCUUAACUCUUAUAAUACUUUUUUUUUUUGCUUUCUGACUGCAGAUGUGGGACAACAUCUUUGUGGCACUCUUUAUUGUCUACCUUGAAAGUGUGUAAGAUGUUCAAAACAAAGCUCAGUCCAUGUUUUCAAGCUUUACAGUUCCUUAAAAGUUGAACAAGGCUGGUUGAGUUUUGCACUGGUUCGGUUCUCUUGAUUGUGAUAGAGGAGAGACAGGGAGCCAAAAUACAGAACAAUGAGAAAAGAAUGGAAACUUUACAGGGAUGGUUCAUCUGGAUGUUGGGUGUCAAAAUCAUUGAGCAAGUGAAUUGCUGCAGAUUGGUGCUGUGACCUGUGCUGUAUGCGGAAUGCCCUGAUCCAAAUGGUGAGCCCAGUGAAGGGAAGGAGGGAGAACAGAGCUAAAGGGGGAUUGCUGCAAGGCUGCAUCUCUUUCCGCUGACAGCCACUUCUAGCUGUGCUUGUCAAUGCCAGUCACAAAUCUCCCAGAAAUUCCGGAAGUGCCCAUGGAACAGCUCUGCCCUCAUGUCUGAGUUACACAGUCUUAAUGUGUUGUUUCCUGAUUAAUAUCUUCUGGAGUAUCUCAUUUGUCAGUCUUGAGGUAAACAAAUUAUUAGGAGGUGUAUUAUAGCAGUAAUGCUUUUUGUAAAGCUUGGAGCAUUACUGAUUUAGCUGUGGCAGAGACAUUCAGUGAAAUUCACUGUGAGGCUGUGCCUUUUCUUAGACCAGGAAAUCACUCAGCUGACACUACUAUAAAACAUUUGAUAGUUAUUAAGUGGUUUUCCAGUAAUUUUUCAGUGCUCAGCAGAAAACAUUAUCAUAACUGAUGUACACUAAUUUUCUCUUGUUUAUAUGUCUAUGUAGCAUAACCUCCAUUAAAGUGCCAUUACAUUUGUGGAAAAGAUUCUGUAAAAAUGACCUGGUGGUCUUCCAAAUUUAUUCUUUCAAUGACUCCAGCUCAAAUUUGCCUACUUUAAACAACAUAUUUUAAAAUUGUCAGUGUUGUGGAUUCCACCUGGGAUCAAGUUGUGUUCUUUCUGUGUUGCACUAAUGAUGAAGAUGAUUUAAUUACUUAGCUGACAAUGUUAUUAAUGAUGCGCAUGAGAGAAGAGAGUCAGGCCUUGGUGCCUUGCUCUCAUUUCAGGACUUGUCGUAACUGUAGGAUGUUAACAGAGGGAAAAUCUGUGUUGGUUUGUCAAAGUGAGAAGAUAUAUCUGGGUGACAAAGACUGUGUUUAGCUGGAAGGUGCCAUAAUGAAGUUUUUCUAAUCGUUGUGAUAUCUUAAGGCUAAUGAGAGUUUAGCAUCUUAAAUUACUAAAAAGCUCGCUUCAUUGGUGAUUGUCCUCUGUUUUCUUCAACUUUGACUCUGGAGAACUUCUGUAAGAGUAACCUGAAACCAUAAAACCCAUCCCAGAUUUUUUUUUGUGUUACUGUUGGACAUUGGCCAGGAUCCAUCAGAAUGUGCUUCAUCGCUCAUCACUGCUCUAUCAGUGCUCUCCUCGUCUCCAUCAGUCCAGAGAUCAUUUACUGUCCAUUUUGCGGCUUCCCCAGAAGUAGUAGGUCUGUCUGCAUUCAAAGAUUUUGCAUAUCCAGCUUUGCAUAUGCAGCUAAGCGCGCAGGAAGAGAAAAAACAUACCACUAAUUAAACCAGUGGUUCUGGUAAAUGUUUCUAUACCAGGAAAAGCUAUAUUGAGAGAUACAACUUAAGUCACUUGGAUAGCUGGUAUAAACAUUGCUAGCAAAAAAUUUCCUGCCAGUAGACACCACAUCUCCACUAGGGCAGUUUAUAGCGCAAGCUACAUCUGUGAAUACUUCGUCCUACAGAGAAGGCCCUAUUCAGAGGGUGAAGGUACUGUGAUGCUAAAAGCUUGGGUUCAGCUGAGCACCUGAGGCUGGUGUGCUGCUGUGGGGCGCACGGUGGCUCUGUAAGAUCACUGUGGGGAUGGGGACAAAAUGUGGUUCUGCUCUGGUCAGCUUUGUCCUGUUUGUGUGGUCCACCAUAAUCCGUCCUGAUGACCUUCCUACUGGUGCUGCUAUAUGUUUGUUUGAUGCAAAACUUGGAAUCUGGAGAUCAAAUGCACGGUGGGUUAUAGGUAGUAGUCUUUCCACAGAGCACACAGCAGAGCCAGAGAAUGUGACAUCAGGCUUCAUGUCCCCACUCUUCAGUCAGGCAGCAAUGAGCAUCAUCAGUGGUUUGUACAAACAUAAAAUUGUCAUCAGAAAUAAUUAGCUUCUCUCUGGCCUGGAACAGUCUGGACUUUUUCAUUAUUGCUGUUAUUAUACUUGAACUAGAUGGCAAUAAGUGGAGUCAGGCCACACUAGAAACAAGAAUGCACGACCUACGUUUUUAAAAAUGCUAGUGAUCCAAAUGAAGUGGGAAUAAGGUGCAGAAGAAUGAAAGCUCCCAUUCAUGGAGCUUUUGUGGCUUUACGAGGGAAAUAUGUCUUAACAUGAGCUUAAUUUGAGGGGAAUGCACACAAGGAUUAAUCUAUUAAUUAUAAUCAAAUUAAAGGAAAAUGUUAUUAUAUAUUUUAAACAAUCCCUGGCAGGGCCACUGCUAUCACAGUUAAUGUUUAGAACUGAAAAAAGAAGUGAAGCCACAGUUUUCACUCUUUAUCUGCUUUUGUGUGUAUGUGUUUAACUCGGCUUAGAGUAUGAAUUUACUAGACUUGUCUGGUUCACUUUCCUUUAUGGGCAGUGCAAUGUUCUGGUUUUCAUAUACUAUAAAAGUAGUGAUGCCACAAAAUUACAAAGGAAAUGCUUUGGUCCCUCAGUAUAGAUAUAAUUAAAUCCAACUAAACUAUUUUCAUAGCCUGAGCUGAGGAAUCUUAAAUAAAAUAAACAAGCCACUCAGCUAAUAACGUAAAGAUCAUUUUUAGCGCCAUAUUAUCAGACCAUUGAUGAGAAUUUUCAGUUGUGUAUUUAAAUUCAAACCUUUUCUUUAACAAAACAUACAGUCAUUUUCGUGUGGUAUAAUGUCUGCAACCAACUGUACCUAACAGGACUGUAAUCCUGUUGAGCUGCUGUAAUGGCAUGAACCACAAAAGCAAAACCUGAGUGGUUUAUCAAUGUCAGCAAACUCCCAGAUGGAAUUACAGUCUUAUGCACACUGUUCAGUUGUAUGCUAUUCAUUAUAACAUAUGACAAAAAUUAUGCUUCUAUUAAAAAUACUCAGAUGAGAAUAUGUGUUGUUGAAGUGGGGCUUGUUUAAACAGCAGAAAUAAUCCACUGGUGCAAAGCAGGAUCAUUUUCAGUGCAGGAUGUGGCCUGCUGCACAGUACCUUUUCAGGCAUAUUUACAGGAUGAUGGAGAUUGAUUCAAACUCUGAAAGAAAUAUAGUGCUUCAGGCUCAGUAGCGUGUUUCUGGUUAUGAUGCCUCAGCUGAAAUUUUCUUUUGUUAUCUGCCUCAGGGAAAUCUGGCUGCCUCUGAAGAAAGUAUGAGCUGGAGCACAGCACUGGGAUUCUCUGUGAAAUAAACCAUGAGAAUCACCAGCCAGAGAAGUCCUUCGGGAUCUGUCAGGACUUCCUAACAGUGUGGCAACACUUGUAGGAUGUAUUAAAGUAAUGCAGAUUUUGCAGAUUUCAUCCCAGUGACUCCCGAGAUCUUGUCCUUCACAAGUUUUCCUCAUGUAAAUGCCCAAAUUGAAAGCUUUGUUUCAGAUUUCUCCCUGCUAGUGGGAGAGAAUUUUGUGGCCUGUGGACCAAGAAGACAAUGACAGACCUGUGGUCUUGGUUUUUCUGUGGUGAAAAGCCAGAACAGCUCAAGGAUAGACCCACAGAGAAAGGUUUAACACUGCUGUUUACAUGGUCCUCGGGGUACAGAUGUUCUGCUGGGUAUUUCUGUCACUCUGACAAGCAGGCAGCAUUUUGUUCUCAUCAGGAUUUCCAAAUGUUUGGGAUAUUGGAGCAGAAGAAACUAUAUCUUUCUAGAGAUUAUUUUUAUGGAAUGUAUUAUGAAAAGAGGUCCUUAGGAAAUAGCAAGUCACCAGAAUGCUUAUUAAAAUGACCUUAAGGUCAGAUUCUGCCACUGUUAAUCACAAUAGUUGUUCCUUACUCUGUGAGCUUUCCCACUGGUUUCAGUGGGAUUACUCAAGGAAUUUGGAUACUACCUGAUGGGACCAAAGUGGCAGCAAGAAUGGCCUUAAUAAUUGUAGCAGCUGUAACACAACGUGCCUUUGUUUUUACCUUACAUUUUAGUUAAAAAUAUGUUGCAUGACAUUUGUUUUCUUCUGAGGAUUCCCUCUUCAAAAAGAUGAAAUUUUAUCUAACAAAUGUAUUCUGUCAUUUUUGUCAUCAGUACUUUAAUAUAUUUAUUGUUGUAGUGUGAUGUCAUCUUUGCUGAGAAUAUGCUUCAGGGUUAGAAUCUCUCCCUUUUUUGUUUUAAAGAACUGUGUAAUAGGAAAAAGAAAAUAAUUUUACUCUGAACUCUCCUUGAAAUCUUUCAGGUUUCACAAAUGUAUUUUCCAGAGUUUGUUUGUAUUUCUGUUCUAUUUUAAGCCACUUCUGCUAAGUAGCCUAAUUUAGAACUGAGCAAUACUUCCUACUCUUUCUGACAUUGUAAGUAGCGGACUCGACUCAGUAUUCCAACAGCUGCAUGAAACAGAAUGGGAAUGCUACACAAUUCUGAAUAUAAUUGGGAAACUUACUGAUGAAGAAUCAUUUAAUUCCACAAAUUAAAGUGAUGAGGACUUACUUACAUAAUUUUAUGCACUGAGAGAUGCAGGAAUUAUUUUUUUUUCUUCACACUGGAAAAGAAAACAAAUUUGGCCGAGGUUUCACUCUAAUUAAAUAGGUUCUUUUCAAGCAGUCACACCAACCACUUCAUAGGGCGUUUGUGAGCACAUUCUUAGCUUUGAGCAUUAGUUCAGGUUGUUGAACUCAAGGACUUGAGCAAUGCAAUAAGAUAUUUUACUAAAAAGAGCUUCAGUUUUUCAAAAUAAUAUAGGGUUGUUCUCUUUUUUUGCCUUUUUUUAAAGCCAGUAAAUAUAAAAUUGCUCAAAUACAGAGUAAUUCUGUGACAAACCUAGUAAUGUGGUCUGCAUUGUGGAAGCAUAGGUGUUUACAUCAGAACUUUUAGCCUCUGUACUAGCCUUGUUCUCAAGGAUGAACAUAUCCCUGUCUAGUCUAACUGUGAAAUAAUUCACAUCAGUCAUUGAAACUGACCCUUUUGAAAAGACUUUAAUAAUGAUUUGACUGUAAUCAGGAGUGUACUAUGCAAACUUAAUCCAGAAGAAAUCAAAUGUCAGUGUGCAAAUAAAAUACAUGGUUAUGUACUGUUUUCCCAUGUCCUGCUGAUGUGACUGCAGUUGCUAAGAUGUGGAAACAACCAUGAUUACAGAAAAUAAGAAGACAGUUUAAAGUAAGUGUAAGUUUGAAUGAUGUCACAUGAAAAGAGGAUUGUUUUGCUUCUUUCCUUGAGCCAAACUGUGCCUUAAGUAUGUAUGUGAGUUAUUCUUGCAAGUUUUGUGGAUAUAACGGUGAAAAAUCUGGUGUAACGUUCAACUAAGCAAGAAUAAUUAUUUCUUAUUUGUUAUUUUUCUCAGUGUAAAAUGUUUUCCUCAAAUAGAAGGAGAGCCAAAGAAAUUUCUUGUUAUUUUUGAACAUAGGUUAUUCAAUGUGAUCCAUUAACAGGCAACUUCUAUGCUGAAAAUACUGCUGAACUAUUUGGAUAAUAUUUCUGUAGAAUUACAGAAUUCAGAGGAGCAUUGAGUUCAUAUCAUAUUAUACUUAAAAGGAAAAUGUCAAUUACUAAUUACAUUUAUCAGUUCUGGAGGAGAAAAAUUCUGUAUCAUCCAUUCUGCUUUUGACAGUGCAAGGUUGUUUUUACUGUUAGCUAUAAAGGUUUCUGUCCAGUGCAGUACUAACAGCUCAAAAGUUGAAGGCUGCAUUACUCUCCUAAAGAGUUCUUUUGUACACCAACAUCUCAGCCUCUGAGGAGUACUUCUUUGCCUUACUGUUAACUGUAUGGUUCCUCUUGCCUAUCCUAUAGUGUUUCUUAUCUUAUAGUGGUAUGUAUUUUUAUGUCUAAUUUAUCCCUUUAAGAGACAUUUCAGAUCUUCAAAAUACUUGUAAGUUACUUUUACCUUUGAAAUAGCCAGUAGCCAAGUUAUACUCAUACUGCUCUGUAGAUUUCAUAGAAACACAGAAUCAUAGGAUAUCCUGAAUUGGAAUAGACUUAAAAGGAUCAUUGAGUUCAACUCCUGGCUCCACACAGGACCACUCAGAAUUUAAACCUUAUGUGUGAGAGUGUUGUCCAAAUGCUUCUUGAACUCUGGCAGCUUGGGACUGUGACCCUGGGCAGCCUGUUCCAUGCCCACUGCCCUCUGGUGAAGAACCUUUUCCUAACCCCCACCUGAC
Long non-coding RNA from Numida meleagris (helmeted guineafowl), 7898 nucleotides. RefSeq lists it as uncharacterized. The record is from RefSeq and is a predicted model, not a curated record. The transcript is spliced from 3 exons. Lineage: Eukaryota; Metazoa; Chordata; Aves; Galliformes; Numididae.